Molecule: ribosomal RNA, 407 nt
Filed under: uncultured bacterium
Lineage: Bacteria
Description: partial 16S ribosomal RNA
Rfam family: Bacterial small subunit ribosomal RNA
Source: RNAcentral
GACGAACGCUGGCGGCGUGCCUAAUACAUGCAAGUAGGACGCAGUUGCGAACGGGUGAGUAACGCGUAGGUAACUACCUAUUAGAGGGGGAUAACUAUUGGAAACGAUAGCUAAUACCGCAUACUAGUAGAUGGACCUGCGUUGUAUUAGGUAGUAGGUAGGGUAAUGGCCUACCUAGGCAACGAUACAUAGCCGGCCUGUAGUGGUGGUCGGCCACACUGGGAAUUAGACACGGGCCAGACUCCUUCGGGAGGCAGCAGUAGGGGAUCAUCGGACAUGGGGGGAACCCUGAACGCGCAACGCCGCGGGAGUGAAGAAGGUUUUCGGAUCGUAAAGCUCUGUUGUUAAGGAAGCGGUACUUAACCAGAAAGGAACGGCUAACUACGUGCCAGCAGCCGCGGUAAUAC